The sequence is a ribosomal RNA, 1231 nucleotides long. It matches the Rfam family "Archaeal large subunit ribosomal RNA", at positions 1908 to 2919 of the family's 2987-position model.
AUGGGGCUGCUAGAUGGAAACGUUGUGUAUAGCCCCUGAGACCUGGCCAGUGCCAGUGUGUCAAAUCCAGUUUCAACUGGAUGAAGCCCUGGUAAACGCCGGCGGUAACUCUGACCGUCUUAUAGAGAGAGGUGGUCACCUGAGACAUUUUGUCUGUGACGACCACCGGCUGGACACAGGUAGCGUAAUCCCUUGCCGAUUAAUUGUCGGCCUGCAUCAACGGUUUAACGAGAUCUCCACUGUCCCGGGCUGAUACCUAGUGAAAUUAACGUCCUGUGCAUACUCAGGAGUCCCUCAGCGGGACGAGAAGACCCCGUAGAACUUUACUGUAGUCUGAUGUUGCGAUAUGAAAACCAUUGUAAAGCGUAGGUGGGAGCGUCGAACCCGGAGCGCCAGCUUCGGGGAAUGCGACCUUGUAACACCACCCUUUGGUUUUCAUAUUGCUUAUCUGGCGGAACAUCUGGAAACAGCAUCAGAUGGACAGUUUGACUGGGGCGGUACACCCUUGACAGGAAAGUUUGGCGCGGGCUAUGCCUGCGCCUUACCACUUGACAUCAAGGGUGCCCUAAGGUUUCCUCAUUCCGGUCAGAAAUCGGAAUUAGAGUGUAAGGGUAAAAGGAAGCCUGAUAGGACUCUACACAUCGAGGAGUCCUAACGCGAAAGCGCGGCCUAGCGAUCCGCAGUGCCUCAUUAAUUGGAGGCCUGCUCUGUCAGAAAAGCUACCUCGGGGAUAAUGGAGUCGUGGCGGGUGAAAGUCCACAUGCGAUUGACGACUUUCACCACAGAACAAGUCGUCUUUCCAGGUCAUAUUGACCUCGUACAUUGCUUCUCCGCCGUCGGCUCGGCUCUUCCUGCGCGUGCAGCAGCGUGCAAGGGUGGAGGUGUUCACUCAUCAAAGAGCCACGUUAGCUGGGUUAAGAACGGUGCGAGCCAGUUUGUUCUAUAUCUGCUGAGGGUGUUGAUUGCCUGAGGGGAAGAAUCAUUCAGUACGAAAGGAACAAUGAUUCGUGGCCUCUGGUGUACCGGUUGUAGAAAUGGCUUGACCGCUUAAAUCGAUUGGAUAAAGCGGUCUGUCACUGCAUUGCAUGCCGGGUAGCUACGCCAUCGUGAAUAAACGCUGAAAGCAUCUAAGCGUGAAGUCACCCCUAAAAAGAGGCAAUCAUUCUCCAGACUGGUAGGUAACUAUCGGCGCGGAGAGGAAGGUCCCGUAGACGACGGGGUUAUGGAACAG